GGGGGUGACUGGCUUCGACUUCGGUAGUCGAGGCAGGAGAAGCGAGCCGUGGUCUCCGGAGCCACGUAAAAGAGCCGGAACAAACCAACAAACGCCGAUAACGGCAACGUUGCGCUCGCUGCCUAACAACAGCUAGCGCCGUCGGCCCGGCCCCAGCCCUGCGGGUCGGUCCCGGCGACAUCCAGCGGGGCUUACCUGUCCGGACUCGUCAACCGGCCGGAUGGGGACACCACAGGUUGACUGUGGCCUCUCGCCGGCGCCGGUGACGAGCGGGGGGCCGAGACCAGAUCACCGGCUGCGCUCGGAGAAGUCCUGCUGAGAAGCCGGAGGACGCGGGUUCGAUUCCCGCCACCUCCACCA
RNAcentral lists this transfer-messenger RNA (360 nucleotides) under Actinomycetota bacterium. It matches the Rfam family "transfer-messenger RNA". Rfam says of the family: Bacterial tmRNA, also known as 10Sa RNA or SsrA, is named for its dual tRNA and mRNA-like properties. Its role is to liberate the mRNA from a stalled ribosome. The record is from RNAcentral. Lineage: Bacteria; Bacillati; Actinomycetota.